Mycena metata is the source of this 93-nucleotide non-coding RNA. The record is from the annotation of a GenBank genome assembly. Lineage: Eukaryota; Fungi; Basidiomycota; Agaricomycetes; Agaricales; Mycenaceae.
UCGGACGUGGUGCAUGGUGCACCCCCGCUCUCCCUAAUUACAAAAGUACAAAAAGUUUAGUGGGAGCUCCGGGUUCGACUCCCGGCGUCUGAA